GUCGAACGAACUCUGGUAUUGAUUGGUGCUUGCAUCAUGAUUUACAUUUGAGUGAGUGGCGAACUGGUGAGUAACACGUGGGAAACCUGCCCAGAAGCGGGGGAUAACACCUGGAAACAGAUGCUAAUACCGCAUAACAACUUGGACCGCAUGGUCCGAGCUUGAAAGAUGGCUUCGGCUAUCACUUUUGGAUGGUCCCGCGGCGUAUUAGCUAGAUGGUGGGGUAACGGCUCACCAUGGCAAUGAUACGUAGCCGACCUGAGAGGGUAAUCGGCCACAUUGGGACUGAGACACGGCCCAAACUCCUACGGGAGGCAGCAGUAGGGAAUCUUCCACAAUGGACGAAAGUCUGAUGGAGCAACGCCGCGUGAGUGAAGAAGGGUUUCGGCUCGUAAAACUCUGUUGUUAAAGAAGAACAUAUCUGAGAGUAACUGUUCAGGUAUUGACGGUAUUUAACCAGAAAGCCACGGCUAACUACGUGCCAGCAGCCGCGGUAAUACGUAGGUGGCAAGCGUUGUCCGGAUUUAUUGGGCGUAAAGCGAGCGCAGGCGGUUUUUUAAGUCUGAUGUGAAAGCCUUCGGCUCAACCGAAGAAGUGCAUCGGAAACUGGGAAACUUGAGUGCAGAAGAGGACAGUGGAACUCCAUGUGUAGCGGUGAAAUGCGUAGAUAUAUGGAAGAACACCAGUGGCGAAGGCGGCUGUCUGGUCUGUAACUGACGCUGAGGCUCGAAAGUAUGGGUAGCAAACAGGAUUAGAUACCCUGGUAGUCCAUACCGUAAACGAUGAAUGCUAAGUGUUGGAGGGUUUCCGCCCUUCAGUGCUGCAGCUAACGCAUUAAGCAUUCCGCCUGGGGAGUACGGCCGCAAGGCUGAAACUCAAAGGAAUUGACGGGGGCCCGCACAAGCGGUGGAGCAUGUGGUUUAAUUCGAAGCUACGCGAAGAACCUUACCAGGUCUUGACAUACUAUGCAAAUCUAAGAGAUUAGACGUUCCCUUCGGGGACAUGGAUACAGGUGGUGCAUGGUUGUCGUCAGCUCGUGUCGUGAGAUGUUGGGUUAAGUCCCGCAACGAGCGCAACCCUUAUUAUCAGUUGCCAGCAUUAAGUUGGGCACUCUGGUGAGACUGCCGGUGACAAACCGGAGGAAGGUGGGGAUGACGUCAAAUCAUCAUGCCCCUUAUGACCUGGGCUACACACGUGCUACAAUGGAUGGUACAACGAGUUGCGAACUCGCGAGAGUAAGCUAAUCUCUUAAAGCCAUUCUCAGUUCGGAUUGUAGGCUGCAACUCGCCUACAUGAAGUCGGAAUCGCUAGUAAUCGCGGAUCAGCAUGCCGCGGUGAAUACGUUCCCGGGCCUUGUACACACCGCCCGUCACACCAUGAGAGUUUGUAACACCCAAAGUCGGUGGGGUAACCUUUUAGGAACCAGCCGCCUAAGG
RNAcentral lists this ribosomal RNA (1436 nucleotides) under Lactiplantibacillus plantarum. Its description in RNAcentral is "bacterial SSU rRNA". It matches the Rfam family "Bacterial small subunit ribosomal RNA". Lineage: Bacteria; Bacillati; Bacillota; Bacilli; Lactobacillales; Lactobacillaceae. The record is from RNAcentral.